UUUCAAAUUAAUGAUUUAGUACAUUGUGACUAAGUUGUGUGAAUGUAUGAAUUACAACAAAGUAGAAAAAAAGGCAUUAAUCAAAAAGUUACUAUGACGUCUUUGUAAGGAUUGUUACUAUUUUGACUGUGUGAUGACGUUGGAGAAGAUGCAUCAGCUCUGAGGUGGUCAAUUUCAGCAUGUAGAGCUUCCACUACAGCUUCUUUUCCUUGAAGUAAUUCCUCCAACUCAGUAACUCUUCCAGCCAACCCCUCUAAGUCGCCAUCACCUUCACCUUCACUCAUGCUUACACUACUAUUGAUUUUCUGCUUCAUUGCGGAAAGAUUCCUCAUCUGAAGCCUGUUCAAGACUUUUACUAAAUCUUCUGUUGGAAUGUUUUAAUUUAUA
Nasonia vitripennis (jewel wasp) is the source of this 387-nucleotide long non-coding RNA. RefSeq lists it as uncharacterized. NCBI's taxonomy places the organism in Eukaryota, Metazoa, Arthropoda, Insecta, Hymenoptera, Pteromalidae. The record is from RefSeq and is a predicted model, not a curated record. The transcript is spliced from 3 exons.